RNAcentral lists this ribosomal RNA (275 nucleotides) under uncultured bacterium. RNAcentral describes it as "partial 16S ribosomal RNA". It matches the Rfam family "Bacterial small subunit ribosomal RNA", at positions 79 to 353 of the family's 1533-position model. The record is from RNAcentral.
CUAAGUUUGAUGGCGACCGGCGCACGGGUGAGUAACACGUAUCCAACCUGCCGAUGACUCGGGGAUAGCCUUUCGAAAGAAAGAUUAAUACCCGAUGGCAUAGUUCUUCCGCAUGGUAGAACUAUUAAAGAAUUUCGGUCAUCGAUGGGGACGCGUUCCAUUAGGUUGUUGGCGGGGUAACGGCCCACCAAGCCUUCGAUGGAUAGGGGUUCUGAGAGGAAGGUCCCCCACAUUGGAACUGAGACACGGUCCAAACUCCUACGGGAGGCAGCAUG